This is a non-coding RNA of Phascolarctos cinereus (koala), 969 nucleotides long. NCBI's taxonomy places the organism in Eukaryota, Metazoa, Chordata, Mammalia, Diprotodontia, Phascolarctidae. The record is from RefSeq and is a predicted model, not a curated record.
GGCACUUUGUCUCUGGCCUGCUGUUUUGUUAUUCUCAGGUUGGAAACUGGCUCAGUAAAAACCUGUUAACAAGUUACAUGAAAUUGAAAAGCUUUUUCACGGACAAGAUCAAUGCAGUUAGGUUAAGAGAGUAAACUAUCAAAUAGGGAAAAAAUGACUAUAUAAAAUAUCACUGAAAAAAGUCUGAUAUCUAAGAUAUAUAGGGAAUUAGCACAAAUACCCAAGAUUAAGAGUCAGUGAUCAAAGAAUAUGAGCAGAGGUUUAAGAAAAGAAGAAAUUAUUAACAACAAUAUGAAAGAUUGCUCAAAAUAAUGAAAGGUAUACUCAUUAAAACAAUUCACAGAAUUCAUCUUACAAUCACCAAAUGGUAACAGAGAAUUAAAAACAAAUAGGACUAGUCCAUGUUGGAAGGACUGCAAGACAGGGACCCUGAUAUAAUGCUGGCGGAACUCGGAAUUUGUUCAACCAUUCUGGAGAAACAAUUUGGAAUUAUGAGAUAAAAGUCAGUAAGCUGUUCAUACCUUUUGAUCGAUAGAUCCCACUUCUGAAUAUAUAUGCUGAAGAGAUCAAAGAGAAAUUUAGACAAUUAAUUUAGUUGUUUAGAAAUUUAGGCAACAAUUUAGACACUGUUAUUGACUCCUUUUCUGUGAUUUGGUCUUACUUUUUCAAAGACCAGCUCCCGAAGACAACGUCAUUAUACUAUAAGAAAUGAUGACUAUAAAGAAUUAAGAGAAACUAGGGAAAAUUUCUCUGAAUCAAUGAAGAAUCAGAAUGUAAUCAAUACAGAAUGAGAUCAACCCUCUAUACCUUAGUAGAGAGAGUUUCUAAGAGUUGGUAUGGCCAAAAGAAAAAAAAAGAAUAUAUCAUUCAGUGGUGAAUCUGGUCAUAGCCUCUCUGUGCUGGACUGGCCCUUGGAUGAAAAUCCUAUGUAAAAGAACUGGAAACUACAGGGGUGCCUAUCAAUUGAGG